AUACGUAGGGUGCAAGCGUUGUCCGGAAUUAUUGGGCGUAAAGAGCUCGUAGGCGGUUUGUCGCGUCUGCUGUGAAAGCCCGAGGCUCAACCUCGGGUCUGCAGUGGGUACGGGCAGACUGGAGUGCGGUAGGGGAGAUUGGAAUUCCUGGUGUAGCGGUGGAAUGCGCAGAUAUCAGGAGGAACACCGAUGGCGAAGGCAGAUCUCUGGGCGGUUACUGACGCUGAGGAGCGAAAGCAUGGGGAGCGAACAGGAUUAGAUACCCUGGUAGUCCAUGCCGUAAACGUUGGGCGCUAGAUGUGGGGACCAUUCCACGGUUUCCGUGUCGUAGCUAACGCAUUAAGCGCCCCGCCUGGGGAGUACGGCCGCAAGGCUAAAACUCAAAGGAAUUGACGGGG
This 398-nucleotide ribosomal RNA is filed under the name uncultured bacterium. RNAcentral describes it as "partial 16S ribosomal RNA". It matches the Rfam family "Bacterial small subunit ribosomal RNA", at positions 523 to 918 of the family's 1533-position model. The record is from RNAcentral.